RNAcentral lists this ribosomal RNA (497 nucleotides) under uncultured bacterium. Its description in RNAcentral is "partial 16S ribosomal RNA". It matches the Rfam family "Bacterial small subunit ribosomal RNA", at positions 28 to 507 of the family's 1533-position model. The record is from RNAcentral.
GAUGAACGCUGGCGGCGUGCCUAAUACAUGCAAGUCGAGCGAACAGACGAUGAGCUUGCUCCGCUGACGUGAGCGGCGCACGGGUGAGUAACACGUGGAUCACCCACCUAUCAGACGGGGAUCACCUCGAGAAACCGGAUCUAAUCCCGGAGAAUAUACUGAACCACAGGGGUCAAUAGAAAGAGACGGCUGUGCUGGCACUUCUAGAUGGAUCCGCGCCGGAUGAGCUAGUUGGGGAGGUAACGGGUUACCAAGGCUACGAUGCGUAGCCGAACGCAGAGGGUGAUAGGCCACACUAGAGAGGAGACACGGACCAGACUACUACGGGAGGGAGCAGUAGCGAAUCUUAGGCAAUAGUGGAGAACAUGACGGAGCGAGGCCGCGUCAGAGAUGGAGGCGUUGGGAUCGUGAAAAUCUGUUAUGGGGGAAAAACAAAUGUGUAAGGAACCAAGGACGUCUUGACGGUAACGGGUAAGAAAGCAACGGCUAACUACGUG